This 207-nucleotide ribosomal RNA is filed under the name uncultured bacterium. RNAcentral describes it as "partial 16S ribosomal RNA". It matches the Rfam family "Bacterial small subunit ribosomal RNA", at positions 568 to 774 of the family's 1533-position model. The record is from RNAcentral.
UGCGCAGGCGGUUUUGUAAGACAGUGGUGAAAUCCCCGGGCUCAACCUGGGAACUGCCAUUGUGACUGCAAGGCUGGAGUGCGGCAGAGGGGGAUGGAAUUCCGCGUGUAGCAGUGAAAUGCGUAGAUAUGCGGAGGAACACCGAUGGCGAAGGCAACCCCCUGGGCCUGCACUGACGCUCAUGCACGAAAGGCUGGGGGGCAAACA